AGAGACCUCAGCAGCUUGCUGUGACACAGAAAAGCCUUUUCUCCAGGGCCCUGGGGGCCGUGUGUUGCCUGGCACUCCUCUGACUCUGUGCUGGACAAGAUGCUCCUGAACCUUCUUGCUGUGCCUGUGAGCAAAGAGACGGCAGGGUUUCACUCCACGACCCCUCUGUGUUUCUGCCAUCAGACUGGCAGGCUUCGGACCUGCAGCUUCUCCGUUGGCUCUCCCUACAGUCGUUUACAACGUGCUUGGAAGGAAAGAUGAGACACACGGACUUACAGCUCGGUUUCCCUUCUCUUCCCAAAAUGAAAAAUAAAUUGAUGUGCUGACAAAUGAUUGCCAGCGGGACUCUGCUAGCUUCUUGGAUGGAUGCCUGCAGUCACUUGUCCACACAGCUCAGCCAGGGCCCCAUGAUGGGACAGGACAGGGCAUGGACUCCAGUGACCGUUUGGAAAUCAACUGCUUGGAACUACAGAGUUGGUACAACCAUCAGAAAGCUACUUCACCCUGGUUUGGUUGUGGUACCUGAAGCCUGAGUCUGUCUCCAAGGCUCUCAGCGUUGGGCUGGAGCCCUGGGGCUUUGCUGGAAUGGGACUGGGAGGGAGAAGUAGUUGAGAGAUGACCCAGAGCAGCGGCCAGGUUGCAGGGUGGGGCUGCUGUUGGGGAGGGGACGGGAAAUUCACCUCCGACAGGGAACAAAAGGUUGUGAUUCAGGAAGUCCCCCGUGACCAGGGAGGGACAGGCAGCACUUUUGUUGGCUGGCUACAGAUGGCUGGUGGCACCUGGUGACUCCCUUCCAAAAAGCUGGGUCCGUGGGAUGUGCCAGGGUCAGUUCCAACCUACCCCACAGAAGAAGCACAGAGACCUGGUGGGGUUACCCACCUCCCAGAGUUAAGGGACAGCCUCUGAUUUUGAUGGGGAAAGCCAGGAGUGUGGUGGGACAGGGAUUGCAGUCUCUGGCCUUGAGGUGGGCCUCGCCUUCUAGUGGGGACCCUUGGGUGGGGUGUUAUCUUCUGGUGGAAUCGUAAAGGGCAUGCCUGAAAAGGCCAGCUCCACCCACUCCCGUUCCUCUGGGUUGAGGAGCAAUGCCUGCCCUUUGGUUGCUGGCUAAGGGGUACAUCCUUGCUGGGACUAUCCUGGAAGCCCUGGGUCUCCUUCCACCACGUAGGAAGCUUCCAUUUCCAAUUCAGAGGGUGGGGAGCUUGAUCGGCUCUCCAGGUGAGAGGGAGCCUCUUCCUUUGGCUCGACCUAUUCAGUGCCAGCACUUUCUGCUCCAGGGGUCUCCCCCUCCCAGAGCAAUUCCUGAACUGUAAGAAAAAGCAGAGCCAGUCCAGAACUCUGCUGGGGAGCUGACUAUGUGGCCUCCUCAUGAAGAGAAGCGUCCAGCGCACUGGUGACCGUGACUGAAUCUACUUCUAUUUUUCUGAUCUUGGACCAAACUUCUAGUCUAGAUUUUGAGAUGAAGGGGAACACAAAUGUGGUAUUCUGAGGCCAUUGCCUCCUUCCCAGGGUGACAUCAGGGCUGGUCCACCUUAUCUGGGCCACGGGCCUGAUCAGGGUGGUGUAGGUGGGAUGAUUCUAGAUUUCAGCUCCAAACCAGAAACUGAGAAGAAAGAACACAGAAUAUUUGUUUCUAUUUGUAAAAAGUAACAAAACAAAACAAAAGGAAACAAAAAACCUCACAUCAUGCCCGCACACAUACACAUGCACAGUGUUAUUAUUUUCUACUUGAUUUAUGCAGCAAUUGCUAGAAGACACAUGGUACUGCUUGGUUCCAGUGAAUUUUCCACACAACUGCUGUUGCAA
Molecule: long non-coding RNA, 1803 nt
Organism: Canis lupus familiaris (dog)
Lineage: Eukaryota; Metazoa; Chordata; Mammalia; Carnivora; Canidae
Exons: 4
Source: RefSeq, a predicted model, not a curated record